CCUUAGAGUUUGAUCCUGGCUCAGGAUGAACGCUGGCGGCGUGCUUAACACAUGCAAGUCGAACGGGAAACCUUUUAUUGAAGCUUCGGCAGAUUUAGAUUGUUUCUAGUGGCGGACGGGUGAGUAACGCGUGGGUAACCUGCCUUAUACAGGGGGAUAACAGUCAGAAAUGGCUGCUAAUACCGCAUAAGCGCACAGGACCGCAUGGUCUGGUGUGAAAAACUCCGGUGGUAUAAGAUGGACCCGCGUUGGAUUAGCUUGUUGGCAGGGUAACGGCCUACCAAGGCGACGAUCCAUAGCCGGCCUGAGAGGGUGAACGGCCACAUUGGGACUGAGACACGGCCCAGACUCCUACGGGAGGCAGCAGUGGGGAAUAUUGCACAAUGGGGGAAACCCUGAUGCAGCGACGCCGCGUGAAGGAAGAAGUAUCUCGGUAUGUAAACUUCUAUCAGCAGGGAAGAAAAUGACGGUACCUGACUAAGAAGCCCCGGCUAACUACGUGCCAGCAGCCGCGGUAAUACGUAGGGGGCAAGCGUUAUCCGGAUUUACUGGGUGUAAAGGGAGCGUAGACGGAUGGACAAGUCUGAUGUGAAAGGCUGGGGCUCAACCCCGGGACUGCAUUGGAAACUGCCCGUCUUGAGUGCCGGAGAGGUAAGCGGAAUUCCUAGUGUAGCGGUGAAAUGCGUAGAUAUUAGGAGGAACACCAGUGGCGAAGGCGGCUUACUGGACGGUAACUGACGUUGAGGCUCGAAAGCGUGGGGAGCAAACAGGAUUAGAUACCCUGGUAGUCCACGCGGUAAACGAUGAAUGCUAGGUGUCGGGGAGCAAAGCUCUUCGGUGCCGCCGCAAACGCAUUGAGCAUUCCACCUGGGGAGUACGUUCGCAAGAAUGAAACUCAAAGGAAUUGACGGAA
Molecule: ribosomal RNA, 913 nt
Filed under: uncultured bacterium
Lineage: Bacteria
Description: bacterial SSU rRNA
Rfam family: Bacterial small subunit ribosomal RNA
Source: RNAcentral